This 530-nucleotide ribosomal RNA is filed under the name Bifidobacterium adolescentis. RNAcentral's name for it is "partial 16S ribosomal RNA". It matches the Rfam family "Bacterial small subunit ribosomal RNA", at positions 162 to 703 of the family's 1533-position model. The record is from RNAcentral. Lineage: Bacteria; Bacillati; Actinomycetota; Actinomycetes; Bifidobacteriales; Bifidobacteriaceae.
GGUAAUGCCGGAUGCUCCAGUUGACCGCAUGGUCCUCUGGGAAAGCUUUUGCGGUAUGGGAUGGGGUCGCGUCCUAUCAGCUUGAUGGCGGGGUAACGGCCCACCAUGGCUUCGACGGGUAGCCGGCCUGAGAGGGCGACCGGCCACAUUGGGACUGAGAUACGGCCCAGACUCCUACGGGAGGCAGCAGUGGGGAAUAUUGCACAAUGGGCGCAAGCCUGAUGCAGCGACGCCGCGUGCGGGAUGACGGCCUUCGGGUUGUAAACCGCUUUUGACUGGGAGCAAGCCCUUCGGGGUGAGUGUACCUUUCGAAUAAGCACCGGCUAACUACGUGCCAGCAGCCGCGGUAAUACGUAGGGUGCAAGCGUUAUCCGGAAUUAUUGGGCGUAAAGGGCUCGUAGGCGGUUCGUCGCGUCCGGUGUGAAAGUCCAUCGCUUAACGGUGGAUCCGCGCCGGGUACGGGCGGGCUUGAGUGCGGUAGGGGAGACUGGAAUUCCCGGUGUAACGGUGGAAUGUGUAGAUAUCGAAAA